CUUAUCAAGAGUGGCGGAGGAAACAGGUCCUUUGAAGCCCGGCAACCUAAUUUGUUUAUUAAGGUGCUAAAUCCUGCGGUAAUAAAUCCGAAAGAUGAGG
This 100-nucleotide non-coding RNA is filed under the name human gut metagenome. RNAcentral describes it as "SAM riboswitch (S box leader)". It matches the Rfam family "SAM riboswitch aptamer (S box leader)". From Rfam's summary of the family: The SAM riboswitch is found upstream of a number of genes which code for proteins involved in methionine or cysteine biosynthesis in Gram-positive bacteria. The record is from RNAcentral.